UAGGUAUUGUGAUAAGGUAUCUGCACCUNAAUACAUAGGGUGUAAGAAGCNAACGCAGGGAACUNAAACAUCUAAGUACCUGCAGGAAAGGACAUCAACCGAGACUCCGCAAG
Molecule: ribosomal RNA, 113 nt
Filed under: Rhizobium leguminosarum
Lineage: Bacteria; Pseudomonadati; Pseudomonadota; Alphaproteobacteria; Hyphomicrobiales; Rhizobiaceae
Description: partial 23S ribosomal RNA
Rfam family: Bacterial large subunit ribosomal RNA
Source: RNAcentral